UACGAAGGUCCCAAGCGUUAUCCGGAUUUAUUGGGCUUAAAGGGUGCGUAGGCGGACUAUUAAGUCAGUGGUGAAAGCCCCCAGCCUAACUGGGGAACUGCCAUUGAUACUGAUGGUCUUGAGUACAUUUGAGGUGGGCGGAAUGUGUCAUGUAGCGGUGAAAUGCUUAGAUAUGACACAGAACACCGAUUGCGAAGGCAGCUCACUAAACUGUAACUGACGCUGAGGCACGAAAGCGUGGGGAGCAAACAGG
Molecule: ribosomal RNA, 253 nt
Filed under: uncultured bacterium
Lineage: Bacteria
Description: partial 16S ribosomal RNA
Rfam family: Bacterial small subunit ribosomal RNA
Source: RNAcentral